GGGGUUGGUCAAACUUAGUGUGUUCUGGGGAGAACAAUCAGAAUAUGGACAUUGCACUCGUUUUCGUUGGGAGCAAGAUGCAAUCAUCAGAUAUCUCGAAAACUAAACAUGUCGAUCCAGCUUUGUUAGAAUUGCUCAAGAUUUCCUUCACAAGCUCCAAUCACUCUAUGGCAUUCCCCUAUGUUGCCCCAUCAGACGAAAAGGGUACGCUGGAAAAUUCGCUGGUUUCGGG
This 232-nucleotide unclassified non-coding RNA is filed under the name Hevea brasiliensis (rubber tree). Lineage: Eukaryota; Viridiplantae; Streptophyta; Magnoliopsida; Malpighiales; Euphorbiaceae. The record is from RNAcentral.